CUUGCACCCAAACCCAAAGGUCAUGUCAACGCUGUGGUGUGACUGAGUCUGGUGUGCAAACAAAAAACUGGUCCUUGUCGCCUUUCUCUGAUGCUGAUGUGCCUUUGAAAGUGAAUUCAAGGUUCAACAAAU
Small nucleolar RNA from Betta splendens (Siamese fighting fish), 132 nucleotides. Ensembl annotates it as small nucleolar RNA SNORA68. NCBI's taxonomy places the organism in Eukaryota, Metazoa, Chordata, Actinopteri, Anabantiformes, Osphronemidae. The record is from Ensembl.